GACGAACGCUGGCGGCGUGCUUAACACAUGCAAGUCGAACGGUAAGGCCCUUCGGGGUACACGAGUGGCGAACGGGUGAGUAACACGUGGGUGAUCUGCCCUGCACUUCGGGAUAAGCCUGGGAAACUGGGUCUAAUACCGGAUAGGACCACUGCCUGCAUGGGUGGUGGUGGAAAGCUUUUGCGGUGUGGGAUGGGCCCGCGGCCUAUCAGCUUGUUGGUGGGGUGAUGGCCUACCAAGGCGACGACGGGUAGCCGGCCUGAGAGGGUGACCGGCCACACUGGGACUGGGAUACGGCCCAGACUCCUACGGGAGGCAGCAGUGGGGAAUAUUGCACAAUGGGGGCAAGCCUGAUGCGGCGACGCCGCGUGAGGGAUGACGGCCUUCGGGUUGUAAACCUCUUUCAGCACCGACGAAGCGCAAGUGACGGUAGGUGCAGAAGAAGGACCGGCAAACUACGUGCCAGCAGCCGCCGUAA
RNAcentral lists this ribosomal RNA (478 nucleotides) under uncultured bacterium. RNAcentral's name for it is "partial 16S ribosomal RNA". It matches the Rfam family "Bacterial small subunit ribosomal RNA", at positions 28 to 523 of the family's 1533-position model. The record is from RNAcentral.